AUUGAACGCUGGCGGCAGGCCUAACCCAUGCAAGUCGAACGAGUGGCGGACGGGUGAGUAAUGUCUGGGCAACUUCCCGAUGGAGGGGGAUAAGUACUGGAAACGGUAGCUAAUACCGCAUACCAUCGGAUGUGCCCAGAUGGGAUUAGCAAGUAGGUGGGGUAAAGGCUAACCUAGGCGACGAUCCCUAGCUGGUCUGAGAGGAUGACCAGACACACUGGAACUGAGACACGGGCCAGACGCCUACGGGAGGCAGCAGUGGGGAAUAUUGCACAAUGGGCGAAAGACUGAGGCAGCCAUGCCGCGUGUAUGAAGAAGGCCUUCGGGUUGUAAAGUACUUUCAGCGGGGAGGCGUUACCCGCAGAAGAAGCACCGGCUAACUCCGUGCCAGCCGCCGCGGUAAUUC
Molecule: ribosomal RNA, 406 nt
Filed under: uncultured bacterium
Lineage: Bacteria
Description: partial 16S ribosomal RNA
Rfam family: Bacterial small subunit ribosomal RNA
Source: RNAcentral